GUAAGACUAUUUUUUUGUGUAUACAGUACUCUGUUUAUAUGAAGCCAAUAGUGGAAAAUCAUUUCAAUCGACUUGCAAAUGAAAUUUCUGUAUAAAUACGGCAUCAUUUUACGAAAUAGUGAGACUCAACCAGAAGCGGAAACCAAAGAAAGUGGACAAUCCAUCAAGUUUUGUAUUAAUCCAGAAUGGUUAAUACAGGACUUGAUGUCGCUGUAACAGCUGUCUUCUGGGGAACAGCUGUAACAGACCAACAGCGCUGUUAGCUGCCCAGGUUAACAGUCUGUUAAGGCUGUCUCCAAUAACAGCCUGUUACAAAGCGCUGUAUCCAGUCUCUGAGAGCGCACUGGCAGCGCUUUCGCUCUUAAGAUCCACGCGGCUGUCAAGAUCCACAAGGCUCUCAAGAUCCACACGGCUCUCGGGCGGCCUUAGCUUUUAAGCUAGGACAUAUGUACAUAUUACUUCGACUACUUUAUUGUACUUGGACCUCCUGCGGACCUAUCUUCCUACCUCAGCGAUUCGUUUACAGACCAGCACAGUACCUUAUAGAUCUUCUAAAACAUUGUACAAGCAACAGACUAAUACACAACUUGAUGGA
Molecule: small RNA, 595 nt
Filed under: Drosophila pseudoobscura pseudoobscura
Lineage: Eukaryota; Metazoa; Arthropoda; Insecta; Diptera; Drosophilidae
Description: GA31042
Source: RNAcentral